Molecule: ribosomal RNA, 117 nt
Filed under: Vibrio parahaemolyticus
Lineage: Bacteria; Pseudomonadati; Pseudomonadota; Gammaproteobacteria; Vibrionales; Vibrionaceae
Source: RNAcentral
CUUGGCGACCAUAGCGUUUUGGACCCACCUGACUCCAUUCCGAACUCAGAAGUGAAACGAAAUAGCGCCGAUGGUAGUGUGGGGUCCGAAGCAAGAACAGAAUUGAAUGUGUAGAGA